UCCAUGUGAUGCCUCCUCCCGAACAUACGACCAAAGCCGAAGCCCUAAGCUCAUCAUUCUGAUCGCUUCCAUAAAAGUCACACUAAAUUCCUUCAACUUAUUCGCAUGGGUGUUCAGCCGCCGCCUCCAUGCCUGCUCCGGCGGAGCACCGCCGUCGAAGUCCACCAGCUGGAGUGUGUUCCGGCUGACAUACUCCUCAGUCGGCCAGGAGUGGCGCCGGAAGUGGAACAGAUGCCCG
This 238-nucleotide unclassified non-coding RNA is filed under the name Hevea brasiliensis (rubber tree). Lineage: Eukaryota; Viridiplantae; Streptophyta; Magnoliopsida; Malpighiales; Euphorbiaceae. The record is from RNAcentral.